This 797-nucleotide long non-coding RNA is filed under the name Ananas comosus (pineapple). Its description in RNAcentral is "long non-coding RNA (ACOM_LNC015905)". Lineage: Eukaryota; Viridiplantae; Streptophyta; Magnoliopsida; Poales; Bromeliaceae. The record is from RNAcentral.
AUUAGCCGCGUGAUGCUGCGAAAAUAAAAUUAUUUUUAUAAUAAAUUUUAUUUUUUUUAUAUUUUUAUAUAAUUUUAUAAGUCUAAUUAUUAAUUAAACAAAAAUUAUAUAAAAAUAAUUUAGUAGUUAAAUUUAUUUAAAUAAAAGUCAUUAAAAUUGAUAUAUGCGCAAAAUAAAUUUAUAUAAUAAUUUAUUUUAUAAAGAUAUAUAUGAAAAGAAUUUGAGAUAAAUCUAUCAAAAUAAUUUAAAAAAAUCAAUAAAUAGAAGGAAAAUAAAAUUGUAAAUGAAAUUGUUUAAUAAAAUUAAUUAUAUAUACACAGAAAUACACUAUAUUUCUAAAAUUCUACUCCUAAAAUUUAAAUUCUAUAUUUUUUUUAUACAACGAUAUUUUACGUGAUUUAAAUUGUAUCUAUCAGUUUAGAUUUUAUUACGUAAUUUAUUAUGCAUAUUAUUAAUAAAAGUAAUUAAUUAUAUUAUAAUUUAAUUAAUUAUUAUAAUUUAGAAUUUAAAAUUAAAAUUAUGAAUAUUAUAAGUUAAAAUUAAAAUUUACAAUUAUUAUUUAAAAUUUAAAAUUUUAAAAUUUCAAAUUUUGAAAGUAUCAAAACUUUAAAUUUUCAUAUCAAAAUUUAAUUACUAAUAAGCUGUUAUACAAUUUAUUAAUAAAUUGCGUGUGCGUGUGUGCGCGUGUGUGUGCGCGCGCGCGUGUGUGCGCGUGUGUGUGUGUGUGCCCGCGCGCGCGCGCGUGCGUGUGUGCGCGUGUGUGUGGAGAGAGAGAAUGAAGUGGAGGGUUGGGGGAC